This 880-nucleotide ribosomal RNA is filed under the name uncultured bacterium. RNAcentral's name for it is "bacterial SSU rRNA". It matches the Rfam family "Bacterial small subunit ribosomal RNA", at positions 20 to 916 of the family's 1533-position model. The record is from RNAcentral.
UGGCUCAGGAUUAACGCUGGCGGCGUGCCUAAUGCAUGCAAGUCGAACGUGGCGCGUUCGGGCGUUAACGUGGCGGACGGGUGAGGAACACGUGGGGAACCUGCCCAUCGGUGGGGGGUAGCCCGCGGAAACGCGGGGUAAUUCCGCAUACGCUGGCCUGGGGAUAGCCCGGGUCAGGAAAGGGUCUUCGGACUCGCCGAUGGAGGGGCCUGCGUCCGAUUAGCUUGUUGGUGGGGUAACGGCCUACCAAGGCGAUGAUCGGUAGCUGGUCUGAGAGGACGGCCAGCCACAGGGGAACUGAGACACGGUCCCCACUCCUACGGGAGGCAGCAGCAAGGAGUUUUCCGCAAUGGGCGAAAGCCUGACGGAGCAACGCCGCGUGGGGGAUGACACCUUUCGGGGCGUAAACCCCUUUUCUUGGGGACGAAGCAGUGACGGUACCCGAGGAAGAAGGCCCGGCUAACUACGUGCCAGCAGCCGCGGUAAUACGUAGGGGCCGAGCGUUGUCCGGAGUUACUGGGCGUAAAGCGCGCGCAGGCGGCUCGUCAAGCCUGACGUGAAAGCCCCCGGCUCAACCGGGGAGGGUCGUCGGGGACUGGCGAGCUUGAGGUCGGCAGGGGCUGGUGGAAUUCCCGGUGUAGUGGUGAAAUGCGUAGAGAUCGGGAGGAACACCCGUGGCGAAGGCGGCCAGCUGGGCCGGACCUGACGCUGAGGCGCGAAGGCGUGGGGAGCGAACGGGAUUAGAUACCCCGGUAGUCCACGUAGUAAACGAUGCAGACUAGGCGUGGGGGGACUUGACCCCCUCCGUGCCGAAGCUAACGCGUGAAGUCUGCCGCCUGGGGAGUACGGCCGCAAGGCUAAAACUCAAAUGAAUUGACGG